RNAcentral lists this long non-coding RNA (4991 nucleotides) under Canis lupus familiaris (dog). RNAcentral describes it as "lncRNA (ENSCAFG00040016899.1)". Lineage: Eukaryota; Metazoa; Chordata; Mammalia; Carnivora; Canidae. The record is from RNAcentral.
AUGCAACCGGCGCGCAGUUCACAUCACUUUGAAAAUAGCUUUGAAAAAAAAAAUCGCUUUGAAACUGCCGAACUGGGAUCCUGGGCCUCACUCCGCAGGCCUCGGAGCGGGCGUCAGAGCCAGGUUUUGCAGUCCUCUCGCCUCAGCUGCGGCCCCGCGACCACAAUUCCAGGUGCCCGCCAGGACCCUUCGAGCCCCGACAGCCCGGAAGCGCCUGACCACGCCUACCCACUGCGCCUGCGCGAGGCGCCCCCUCCGGCGAGCGGGGAGACUGGCGCUGGGCGGGCCGAGAGGCUCGUCGCGCCUGCGCGAAGGCCCCGGGGAGCAGCGUCGUUACUUUCCAAACGACUGGCGGGAACCGUUGGAGGCCGUGCGGUCGCCGUCUGGUCUGCCGGGCAGCAGCGCGCUCCCUCGUCCCUAGGCCUGGCCGUGGCGCCGCAGCUCUCCCGCGAGCAGAGGCGGAAAUCGUGGCCCAGUUCUUCUCAUUUGGCAUCAACAGCAUUUUAUAUCAGCGUGGCAUAUAUCCAUCUGAAACCUCUACCAGAGGGCAGAAAUACGGACUCACCUUGCUUAUAACAACAGAUCCUGAGCUCAUAAAAUAAUUCAAUCAUGUAGUGGACAAGUGAAAGAUUGGUUAUACAAGUGUUCAGUUCAGAAACUGGUGGUAUUCAUCUCAAAUAUUGAAAGCGGUGAAGUCCUUGAAAGGUGGAAGUUUGAUAUUGAGUGCGACAAGACUGCAAAAGAUGACAGGUAAGUAUGAAUUAAACUGCUUCCACUUUCAUAGAUUUUUUUUCCAAAACUUGUUUUCUUGACUCAAUGAUUCUAACUAUAUUGAACUAGUUUCGUAUAAGGUAGUUUGUUUCUAACUAUGUUAGAUCUCCCGUGGAGAAGAAUAAGACUCACAAACUGUGCUCACAAAAGAGUCGUGCCUAUUAUGGACUUGUAUAGUGUACUUUUAACAUAACUGCCCUUAGUCUAAAAUCCAUAAAUUUCACCCUUUAGUAUUUAUGGUGCUAUAUGUAAGCUACACAUGAUGUAUUAGGUGGGCCAUUUAAUGGAUUGUGUCAAGGUACUUUUAACCAUGAAGUAUUAUCCUAGAUUUUCUCCUAGCUUGAUAUGCAGCUCUACUGUAUUUCAUUUAACGCUAUUAACUUCCUAAGACACUCUGAACUGAAGUUCUUAGAUCCUCUGGAUGGGAAAUGCCCCCUCAUUAUAUGCUAAUUCUUAGCAUUGUCCCAGGCAUGCUUACCUGUAAACUCAGAACUCUCUCUCAUAAUGAAAUGUAGUUUGUUCCUGAAGCCUUUGGUCUGUUUUAGAAAAUGUUUAUUUUAUUUUUUAGUAAAUUUAUUUUUUAUUGGUUUUCAAUUUACCAACAUACAGAAUAACACCCAGUGCUCAUGCCGUCAAGUGCCCCCCUCAGUGCCCACCACCCAGUCACCCCCACCCCCGCCCUCCUCCCCUGCCACCACCCCUAGUUCGUUUCCCAGAGUUAGGAGUAUGUAUGUUCCGUCUCCCUUUCUGAUAUUUCCCACACAUUUCUUCUCCCUUCCCUUAUAUUCCCUUUCACUAUUAUUUAUAUUCCCCAAAUGAAUGAGAACAUACAAUGUUUGUCCUUCUCCGACUGACUUAUACUGCACUCAGCAUAAUACCCUGCAGUUCCAUCCACGUUAAGCAAAUGGUGGGUAUUUGUCAUUUCUAAUGGCUGAGUAAUGUUCCAUUGUAUACAUAAACCACAUCUUCUUUAUCCAUUCAUCUUUCGAUGGACACCGAGGCUCCUUCCACAGUUUGGCUAUUGUGGACAUUGCUUCCAGAAACAUCCGGGUGCAGGUGGGUGCAGGUGUCCCGGCGUUUCAUUGCUUCUGCAUCUCUGAAGUAAAUCCCCAGAGGUGCAAUUGCUGGGUCAUAGGGCAGGUCUAUUUCUAACUCUUUGAGGAACCUCCACACAGUUUUCCAGAGUGGCUGCACCAGUUCACAUUCCCACCAACAGUGUAAGAGGGUUGCCUUUUCUCCGCAUCAUCUCCAACAUUUGUGGUUUCCUGCCUUGUUAAUUUUCCCAACUCUCAUGGUGUAAGGUGGUAUCUCAUUGUGGUUUUGGUUUGUAUUUCCCUGAUGGCAAGUGAUGCAGAGCAUUUUCUCAUGUGGGUGUUGGCCAUGUCUAUGUCUUCCUCUGUGAGAUUUCCCUUCAUGUCUUUUGCCCAUUUCAUGAUUGGAUUGUAUGUUUCUUUGGUGUUGAGUUUAAGAAGUUCUUUAUAGAUCUUGGAUGCUAACCCUUUUAUCUGAUAUGUCAUUUGCAAAUAUCUUCUCCCAUUCUGUAAGUUGUCUUGUAGUUUUGUUGACUGAAUCCUUUGCUGUGCAAAAGCUUCUUAUCUUGAUGAAGUCCCAAUAGUUCAUUUUUGCUUUUGUUUCUUUUGCCUUCAUGGAUGUAUCUUGCAAGAAGUUAUUGUGGCCGAGUUCAAAAAGGGUGUUGCCUGUGUUCUACUCUAGGAUUUUGAUGGAAUCUUGUCUCACAUUUAGAUCUUUCAUCCAUUUUGAGUUUAUCUUUGUGUGUGGUGAAAGAGAGUGGUCUAGUUUCAUUCCUCUGCAUGUGGAUGUCCAAUUUUCCCAGCACCAUUUAUUAAAGAGACUUUCUUCCAAUGGAUAAUCUUUCCUCCUUUAUCGAAUAUUAGUUGACCAUAAAGUUCAGGGUCCAUUUCUGGGUUCUCUAUUCUGUUCCAUUGAUCUAUGUGUCUGUUUUUGUGCUGGUACCACACUGUCUUGAUGACCACAGCUUUGUAGCAUAACCUGAAAUCUGGCAUUGUGAUGCCCCCAGAUAUGGUUUUCUUUUUUAAAAUUCCCCUGGCUAUUUGGGGUCUUUUCUGAUUCCACACAAAUCUUAAAAUAAUUUGUUCUCUCUGAAGAAAGUCCAUGGUAUUUUGAUAGGGAUGCAUUAAACAUGUACAUUGCUCUGGGUAACAUUGACAUUUUCACAAUCUUAAUUCUGCCAAUCCAUGAGCAUGGAAUAUUUUUCCAUCUCUUUGUGUCUUCCUCAAUUUCUUUCACAAGUGUUCUAUAGUUUUUAGGGUAUAGUUCCUUUACCUCUUUGGUUAGGUUUCUUCCUAGGUAUCUUAUGCUUUUGGGUGCAAUUGUAAAUGGGAUGGACUCUUUAAUUUCUCUUUCUUCAGUCUCAUUGUUAGUGUAUAGAAAUGCCAUUGAUUUCUGGGCAUUGAUUUUGUAUCCUGCCACACUGCCAAAUUGCUAUAUGAGUUCUAGCAAUCUUGGGGUGGAGGCUUUUGGGUUUUCUAUGUAGAGUAUCAUGUCAUCGGCGAAGAGGGAGAGUUUGACUUCUUCUUUGUCAAUUUGAAUGCCUUUAAUGCCUUUUUUUUGUCUGAUUGCUGAGGCUAGGACUUCCAGUACUAUGUUGAAUAGCAGUGGUGAGAGUGGACAUCCCUGUCUUGUUCCUGAUCUUAGGGGAAAGGCUCCCAGUGCUUCCCCAUGGAGAAUGAUAUUUGCUGUGGGCUUUAGGUAGAUGGCUUUUAAGAUGUUGAAGAAUGUUCCCUCUAUCCCUACACUCUGAAGAGUUUUGAUCAGGAAUGGAUGCUGUAUUUUGUCAAAUCCUUUCUCUGCAUCUAAUGGGAGGAUCCUAUGGUUCUUGGUUUUUCUCUUGCUGAUAUGAUGGAUCACAUUGUUUGUUUUAUGAGUAUUGAACCAGCCUUCUGUCCCGGGGAUAAAUCGUACAUGGUCAUGGUGAAUAAUUUUCUUAAUGUGUUGUUGGAACCUAUUGGCUAGUAUCUUCUUGAGAAUUUUUGCAUCCAUAUUCAUCAGGGAUAUUGGUCUGUAAUUCUCCUUUUGGUGGGGUCUUUGUCUGGUUUUGGAAUUAAGGUGAUGCUGGCCUCAUAGAAAGAAUUUGGAAGUACUCCAUCUCUUUCUAUCUUUCCAAACAGCUUUAGUAGAAUAGGUAUGGUUUCUUCUUUAAACGUUUGAUAGAAUUCCCCUGGGAAGCCAUCUGGCCCUGGACUUUUGUGUCUUGAGGGGUUUUUGAUGACUGCUUCAAUUUCCUCCCUGGUUAUUGGCCUGUUUAGGUUUUCUAUUUCUUCCUGUUCCAGUUUUGGUAGUUUGUGGCUUUCCAGGAAUGUGUCCAUUUCUUCUAGAUUGCCUAAUUUAUUGGCCUAUAGCUGUUCGUAAUAUGUUUUUAAAAUCGUUUGUAUUUCCUUGGUGUUGGUAGUGAUCUCUCCUUUCUCAUUCAUGACUUUCUUAAUUUGAGUCUUCUCUAUCUUCUUUUUAAUAAGGUUGGCUAACGGUUUAUCUAUCUUAUUAAUUCUUUCAUAGAACCAACUCCUGUUUAUGUUGAUCUGUUCCACAGUUCUUUUGGUCUUGAUUUCGUUGAGUUCUGCUCGAAUCUUUCUUAACUCUCUUCUUUUUUUUUUUUUUUUAUUUAUUUAUGAUAGUCACAGAGAGAGAGAGAGAGGAGAGAACAGGCAGAGGAGAAGCAGGCUCCAUGCACCGGGAGCCGACAUGGAUUCGAUCCGGUCUCCAGGACCGCCCUGGCCAAGGCAGCGCCAACCGCUGCGCCCCAGGAUCCCUUAACUCUCUUCUUCUACUGGGUGUAGGAUCUAUUUGCUGUUUCUUCUCUAGCUCCUUUAUGUGUAAGGUUAGCUUUUAUAUUUGAGAUCUUUCCAGUUUUUGAGUGGAUGCUUGUAUUGCGAUGUAUUUGCCCCUUAGGACUGCUUUUGCUGCAUCCCAAUGAUUUUGAAUGGUUGUACCUUCAUUCUCAUUAGUUGCCAUGAAUCUUUUUAAUUCUUCCUUAAUUUCCUGGUUGACCCUUUCAUCUUUUAGCAAGAUGAUCCUUAACCUCCACGUGUUUGAAGGCCUUCCAAACUUCUUGUUGUGAUUUAGUUCUAAUAUCAAGGCAUUAUGGUCUGAGAAUAUGCAGGGGACGAUCCCAGUAUUUUGGUAUCGGUUCAAGCCCCAUUUGUGACCCAGGAUGUGGUCUAUUCUGGAGAAAGUUCCAUGUG